CCCUGAGGGGGCAGGUCUCCAAAAAAGUGAGCUGCUGAGCCAGGGAGCCCAUUCUGAAUAAAGAAAUUAUUUCUGUCCGUUUGCUCCGCGUCGUGGGCACCCACAAUGUCUAGAGACCAGAGUAGGUUGUGGGGACCAAAGAUGAACAGGACAGGAUCCCUGGACUGAGGAAACCUCUGUAUUGUGGAAGAAAUACCCCCUAAGUAGCCUAAAACAACGAGGCGAGCUCCUUACAGGAUGCCACCGAAGAACCUAAUAUCCAUUCACUUAACUCCGCCAUCAUUUCCAGGCAGAAGGAAAGGCGUGUGCAACAGCAUGGGGCAUGGUGCUACAAGUUAAUAGGUAGAGGAGUUGCAGGGAGAUCGCAGGGAUGGGGCCGAGGAAGGACCGCAAGGGUUGCAGCGUGGAGAAGGUCAGCAAGAGGCUUCACGGCUUGUGAGCUGUCUGCUGUGAAGGGCCAGUGAUGCUCUGAGUCGCUCACCAGAAAGGUGUUCUGGCAGUGGUGGGUGAAUCGAGGCCACGUUGAGGGCACUGAGACAAGUUAGGAAGCAAUCUCUAGACAAAAUGGGAUGAGGUGGUGACAGGGACAUGGAGAGGAGGAACUGAUUAACUAUACAGUGAGAAGGUGGAAGUGGCCAUACCUGGAAGUCAAUGUACUCUGGAAGAUGAGAAAACGGUCCAAUGUAAGAUGUCUCUCAAGUUUCAUACGGGACUGACUGGGUAGUAGACAUCCAACCAAAACACAGGAGGAGACGUGUGCUCUUGAGGGAAAGAUGGUUCUCCUUUCAGACGCAUUGAUUUCGCCAGGCAGGUAUACAUGUCCCAUAAGCCAUUUUGACAUAUGAUACACAGGGAGUUUGGACUGGAGACGUGAAUUAACAGUCAUCAGCCCAAAGGUGACAAUCAGGUGAAUAAGGAAGACCAGGCAGACUGCAGAGAGGAAGGCUAAGGACAGGGCCCUGUCUAAGACCACAGUCUAAGAGACGGAGAGGGAAAAAGCUGAGGAGGGAGAUUAGAAUCAAUGGAGGUGGGUGAAGAAUCAGAGAAGUCACAGAAGCCAUAGCAGCAGAAAAUUCUUAAGAAGGGAGUUAUUAGAUGCAUGGAAACCUGAAGAGAAGUCAGAUAGGUUAACUGAGAAGAGUCCAUUCACUGUAGCAAGCAGGAGGACACCUACUUCAAGCUGAGCUUCAAGAGAGGGAGAUGGUGAUCUAAAGAAGGAAGGGGAUUGUCCUUCUACAACUGCCACGACUAUGCUCGCCAUUCCUGCCAUGCCAGAGCCACUUCAUUGACCCUUGGCCGUUUCCAAUGAGAAUACGGUCUCCACUUUACAGACCUGAUGAGUAAGGUGCAGAGAGAUUAAGUAACUCGGUGAGGGCGCACAGCUGGUCUGUGGAACCCAUGUGUUCCUAAAGCCCAUCCUCUUAACCCUGACUGGAAGAUCUCUCAUAAUUGUACAGCAGCUUGACCUUUCGGUGCACCUUGCAUCUGUUAAUUAUCUUACUUUAGUCCAAUAACUACCAUUCACAGCCAAUCCUUGGAGAACAAAAUAGGCCAGCUGACACCAAAGAGCAGUUAGUGUGUGCUUGAUGCCCAUGAUGAGGCAACACUGAUCUUCUGGUAGCUUCCAGACUGACCAAACAAACGGGGCAAAGAUACUCCUUUCCUCAUCCCCUGCCACUAUGCCCUCCUCCUGAGAUCUCCAUCAAGCCCACUGUUUCUUUUCCACAAACAAGCAGUAUGACUCCAGCUCCACCCCGGCCCAAAUUGUAGUCUCCUACUGCUGGUAAUGUAGGCAAAAGCGUGCAUCACUUCUUGCACCUAAAUACUCCUCGGAGCUUAGUCUGGAUCCAAACAGAAUCGAUCUGCCUCCUAUUACAUCCUUCUAAGCUCUUUGGCCCAUUCCCUCAUUUCAGCCCCAGCCCCAGACGUCAGUUUUUCUCCAGCAAAUUCAAUCUGUUGCAUUAGGUGCCAACAGACGGCUUCCCUGCUGAAAGUCAAAUAAUCAUGUCCCUGGAACAUGCUGUGUUUAUUCAUGGUCCAUUACUGUAGUUAAACUAGCAACAACUCUAAGAACCUAUAGAUUUUUUUUAUUGCCCCUCAUAGAAAGAUCAUGAUUUACAGACAGAAUCGAAAAAGGCCCAAUUAGCUACCCAUACCGGAAACAAGAAGAAAACAUUAGCAAGAGACACUUCUUUUGCUUUCUCUUCCAUAGUUGUGUGACCUUGGAAAAGGCCAGGCGUGUCUCCAUCAGCCCUAAUUGUCAGAUUCAUAGAAAGAAAUGGAUUCACAUCAUGGGAUUCUGCUACAGCCGUGGCUUAUUUCACACAAUAUAAUUGGCUUUCUUUGUGAAAUUUCACACCAGAGGAAAAAUGUGAUUUUUCAAGCAGAAAAGAACUAUUGUGAGAGUUAGCUCAUUUUGGACCCAGGAUGAAUUUUAAGCCCCAGAGAAGAAACUGAAAUAUGCUUUAAGGAGAAAUAAUACAGCUCAGGUCGUGAUCUCAUGGUUCCUGGAAUUGAGACCUGCAUCCAGCUCAUGCUGACAGAACGGAGCCUGCUUGAGAUUCUCUCUCUCCCUCUCUCUCUCUCUCUCUGCCCCUCCCCGCCUUGUGUGUGCACGUGCUCAC
This is a long non-coding RNA of Herpailurus yagouaroundi (jaguarundi), 2624 nucleotides long. RefSeq lists it as uncharacterized. The transcript has 3 exons. The record is from RefSeq and is a predicted model, not a curated record. NCBI's taxonomy places the organism in Eukaryota, Metazoa, Chordata, Mammalia, Carnivora, Felidae.